Molecule: ribosomal RNA, 468 nt
Filed under: uncultured bacterium
Lineage: Bacteria
Description: partial 16S ribosomal RNA
Rfam family: Bacterial small subunit ribosomal RNA
Source: RNAcentral
GACGAACGCUGGCGGCGUGCUUAACACAUGCAAGUCGAGCGGAAAGGCCCUGCUUUUGUGGGGUGCUCGAGUGGCGAACGGGUGAGUAACACGUGAGUAACCUGCCCUUGACUUUGGGAUAACUUCAGGAAACUGGGGCUAAUACCGGAUAGGAGCUCCUGCUGCAUGGUGGGGGUUGGAAAGUUUCGGCGGUUGGGGAUGGACUCGCGGCUUAUCAGCUUGUUGGUGGGGUAGUGGCUUACCAAGGCUUUGACGGGUAGCCGGCCUGAGAGGGUGACCGGCCACAUUGGGACUACGAGACGGCCCAGAAUCCUACGGGAGGCAGCAGUGGGGAAUAUUGCACAAUGGGCGGAAGCCUGAUGCAGCAACGCCGCGUGCGGGAUGACGGCCUUCGGGUUGUAAACCGCUUUCGCCUGUGACGAAGCGUGAGUGACGGUAAUGGGUAAAGAAGCACCGGCUAACUACGUG